UUGUAAAACUUAAGAACAAAAGAACAAUAUAAAGAGGAAGACAAGAAGAAUAUAAGACAAGAGUAACAAUAUGAGAUAACUUUCUUUCUUUCAAGUGUUCACCAAAUCUUCAAGUGUCUACAAUAUGAACCCUUAUGCCUCUAUUUAUAGUGUAACAUAGAAGCAUACAAAAGGUUAGUCAUAAACAUGAAAUUAACAUGAAUAUAAU
Molecule: long non-coding RNA, 208 nt
Filed under: Solanum tuberosum (potato)
Lineage: Eukaryota; Viridiplantae; Streptophyta; Magnoliopsida; Solanales; Solanaceae
Description: long non-coding RNA (STUB_LNC011472)
Source: RNAcentral